UAAAAAAAAAAAAAAAAAACACAAACAAAAAAAAAAAAAAAAAAGAGAGAAGAAAACAAUGGCAGCAGCUAGAAGAGCUACCAACAGCGACCUUCCCAUGCUUCCAUUCUCUUUCACAUAGAAAAUGAGACCUAUCUCUCUCUGUAAACCCUAAUCUCCCAUUUCCUCUGCAACCUAUACGCUCAUAUGCCGCUUUAGCUCUUCAAGGCUCGAUUUUCCUUUGCCUUUUGGCGAUACAUUUCCAAUUUGAUUCUCUAUUUUGAUCUAUUUGUCUCUUGAUUUUGACAAUGGAGGCAUUGAUGCAGCUCUGCGACGUGGCGGCGCAGAAUCCGGCACAAUUUGCGGAAAAAUUGGCGUGGAUUUGUAGCCGAUGUCCGCAACCGGACUCGUUGCUCGCCGGAUCGCCUAGGGUUUCGCGUUCGCAGCUCAAUGCGGUCCUCGCCGUGGCUUUAUUCCUCUCCAAGUGUUCUGUCUCUACCGAUAACAGGCCACAAUCUAUUGUUCUUGAGUUUUUUCGUGCGAUUCCGUCGUCGUUUAGGCAAUCAUUUUGGCCCCAGUCGUUCAGCCUGGACUCGAUCUCAUCGUUCUACGUUGAUUUCUUGGGAUACGUGUCAAAAGCGGCGGAGUUGUCGCUGGAUUUCGCUGAGGAGAUUGCUGAUUAUGUUGGUGACGUCGUUAUGGCGGGGCUCAAUAACAAUGUCAGUGAGAAUUUGGCUAUUUCCAGGGCUUUUUUGCUGGCUUUAUCGCAGAAUUUCCCUCCAAUUGUACAGUCCGAUGCGGAGAAACUGGUGAUGUGCCUUCUCGAUCAAUUUUGUGUGCCCGUACAGGUUCCUGCUUCUCCUAUUGAACCGAUUGUUAUCAACUCUGAAACGUCCUCGUCUCAGAGUUCGCCAUUAAACCAGCACAACUAUAAUCCCAGCAAUGAGAUUUCAAGUCCCGCGAAUGAUUUGAGCCACGUUUCGGGGUCGUCCAGUGCCAGUGUGGUGUCGUCAAUGUCAGUGAUGUUAAACGGUAGCAGUGUAAUGUGGAAGAGUGGGUUUGAUUCUAUGGGAAUGAGUUUUGGGUUCAAUGAUGGAGGCGGGGGCUUGUUUAGGCAACAAGUGGCUUCCUUUGAGGAGGAGACUGUGGAGGGAUUGGAGAAGCAGGUGAUUGCAUUUAAAUUAAUCAUGCAUGUCUUAGAUCAUGUGAAGAUUGAUAACGAGCUUUUGAAGAACCUGAGUUCAAUUGCAAAGAAGCAACUACAGUCCCUGUCCGCAUUUCUGAAGAUAAGGAAGCGGGAUUGGACUGAACAAGGACAACUUUUAAAAUCUAGAGUGAAUGCAAAACUGUCUGUUUAUCAAGCUGCAUGCAGGAUGAAACUUAAGUGUCUUGCAUCUAUUGAUGCGGAUGGGAAAACUUCCAAAAGGUUGGUGCUGGAGACUCUUGCACUAAUGAUAGAUGCCGCAGAAGCAUGUUUGCUGUCUGUGUGGCGAAAGUUGAGAAGUUGUGAAGAGCUGUUCAGUUCCCUCCUUACUGGCACUGCUCAUAUUGCUGUCAGUAAAGGAGGUCAGCCGUUGCGUGUGCUGCUUAUUCGUCUCAAACCUCUCGUGCUGACUGCAUGUGCACAGGCUGAUGCUUGGGGUGGCAGCCAGGGAGCCAUGUUCGAUACUGUCAUGCAUACUAGUUGUCAGAUAAUUGAAUCUGGCUGGACUAAGGACCGUUCUCCUGUUGACACAUUUAUCAUGGGAUUAGCCACAAGUAUACGUGAACGAAAUGAUUACGAUGAACAGGUUGACAAGGAGAAGCGGGCAGUUCCUGGUGUGCAGCUUAAUGUCAUUCGUCUACUAGCUGAUUUGACUGUUUCUGUUAACAAGUCUGAAGUGGUAGACAUGAUACUGCCGCUUUUUAUUGAAAGCUUAGAAGAGGGUGAUGCUUCAACUCCUGGUUUAUUGCGACUCCGACUUCUUGAUGCUGUAUCUCGCAUAGCAAGUUUAGGUUUUGAGAAGUCAUAUCGUGAGACUGUUGUUCUGAUGACAAGGAGUUACUUGAGUAAACUAUCUGGUGUAGGGUCUGCUGAAAGCAAAACAUUGGCACCGGAAGCCACUACGGAACGUGUUGAGACUCUUCCUGCAGGAUUUCUUUUGAUUGCUAAUGGCCUUAAGAUUAUGAAAUUGCGUUCAGACUAUCGUCAUCGUUUACUAUCUUUGUGCUCAGAUGUAGGCCUGGCUGCUGAAUCCAAAAGUGGAAGGAGUGGAGCAGAUUUUCUGGGACCUCUACUUCCUGCUGUUGCUGAAAUAUGUUCUGACUUUGAUCCUACUGUCGAUGUGGAACCGUCACUUUUGAAGUUAUUCCGAAAUUUAUGGUUCUAUGUUGCUCUUUUUGGUUUAGCACCUCCUAUACAGAAAAUUCAACAACCAGCAAAGCCAGUUUCAACUACAUUGAACAGCGUGGGAAGCAUGGGUACUAUUGCUCUUCAGGCAGUGGGCGGACCAUAUAUGUGGAAUGCACUGUGGUCAUCUGCUGUUCAGCGAAUUGCUCAAGGGACUCCUCCUCUUGUUGUCAGCUCAGUAAAAUGGCUCGAAGAUGAAUUGGAACUCAAUGCCCUCCACAACCCUGGAAGUCGUCGAGGGAGUGGCAAUGAGAAAGCAGCUGUGAGCCAAAGAGCUGCUCUUUCAGCUGCCUUAGGUGGGCGAGUUGAUAUUGCAGCAAUGAGCACAAUUUCAGGUGUGAAGGCAACCUAUCUUCUUGCUGUAGCCUUUUUGGAGAUAAUACGAUUCAGCAGUAAUGGUGGCAUCCUUAAUGGUUGCACUGGUUUGACUGCUUCUAGGAGUGCCUUCAGUUGUGUCUUCGAAUACUUAAAAACUCCAAACCUUAUGCCAGCUGUCUUCCAAUGUUUGACAGCAAUUGUCCACAGGGCAUUUGAAGCAGCAGUACAGUGGCUGGAAGAUCGAAUAAGCGAAACAGGCAAAGAAGCUGAGAUCAGAGAAUCAACUCUUUUUGCUCAUACCUGUUUUCUCAUUAAAAGCAUGUCACAGAGGGAGGAACACAUCCGGGAUAUUACUGUAAACUUGUUGACUCAGCUUAGAGAUAAGUUCCCUCAGGUUUUGUGGAAUUCUUCCUGCUUAGACUCCCUGCUAUUUUCAGUUCACAACGACUCAUCUCCUGGUGUUGUUAAUGAUCCUGCUUGGAUAGCGACAGUCCGUUCUUUGUACCAAAGAAUUCUGAGAGAAUGGAUCAGUAUAUCACUUUCAUAUGCCCCAUGUACUAGCCAGGGCCUACUUCAGGAAAAGCUAUGCAAAGCAAACACAUGGCAGAGAGCACAACCUACAGCUGAUGUGGUUUCUCUUUUAACUGAGAUACGGAUUGGCACUGGUAAAAAUGAUUGGACAGGCAUACGAACAGCUAAUAUUCCUUCAGUCAUGGCCGCAGCAGCUGCUGCAUCAGGAGCAAACUUGAAAUUGACAGAAGCCUUCAAUUUGGAGGUACUCAGUACUGGUAUGGUCAGUGCAACAGUUAAGUGCAACCAUGCUGGAGAAAUUGCUGGCAUGAGAAGGUUGUAUAGCAGUAUUGGUGGAUUUCAACCUGGUAAUGUACCAACAGGUUUUAGCAGUGGUCUCCAGAGAUUAAUAUCUGGAGCAUUUUCUCAACCGCCACAGGCUGAGGAUGAUUCUUUUAAUGAGAUUUUACUUAAUAAGUUUGUGCAUCUUCUUCAACAAUUUGUUAGUACUGCAGAAAAAGGUGGCGAAGUGGACAAGUCACAGUUCCGUGAUACUUGUUCUCAAGCGACAGCAUUACUUCUCUCAAAUCUGGUUUCUGAUUUAAAAUCAAAUGUAGAGGGCUUUGUGCAACUUUUGCGCCUUCUUUGCUGGUGUCCAGCGUAUAUUUCUACUUCAGAUGCAAUGGAAACUGGCGUUUUCAUUUGGACUUGGUUGGUUUCUGCUGCUCCGCAAUUGGGAUCUCUUGUUCUUGCUGAGCUUGUUGAUGCAUGGUUAUGGACAAUUGAUACAAAACGAGGUCUCUUUGCAUCUGAGGUGAAGUAUUCUGGACCUGCUGCGAAAUUGAGGCCUCAGCUUGCACCUGGGGAACCAGAGCUGCCACCCGAAAUUGAUCCUGUUGAACAAAUAAUGGCACAUAGACUAUGGCUUGGAUUUUUCAUUGAUCGCUUUGAGGUAGUUCAUCACAAUAGUGUUGAGCAACUCUUGCUCCUUGGCCGACUGUUGCAAGGGACCAUGAAAUCACCAUGGAACUUUUCACGCCAUCCUGCAGCUACUGGCACAUUUUUCACUUGCAUGCUUCUAGGGCUCAAGUUUUGCUCUUGCCAAAGCCAGGGGAAUUUGCAGGGUUUUAAAUCAGGGCUUCAACUGCUAGAGGACCGGAUCUAUAGGACUUGUUUGGUCUGGUUUGCUUCUGAGCCUGAAUGGUAUGACAUAAACAAUAUGAAUUUUGCACAAAGCGAGGCUCAGUCUGUCUCUCUAUUUGUCCACUAUCUUUCGAAUGAGCGAACAGAUGUUCAAUCUGAUGCAAAAGGACGGGGACCAGAUAAUGGAAUUUCUGUGGCUGAUAUGAAUGAUCAGUUUCACCCUAUCUGGGGCCAAAUGGAGAAUUAUGUUGUGGGAAGAGAAAAACGGAAGCAGCUGCUUUUGAUGUUAUGCCAACAUGAGGCUGAUAGGCUUGAAGUUUGGGCACAACCCACAAAUUCAAAGGAAAACACAUCACGGCCUAAAAUUAGCUCUGAGAAGUGGAUUGACUAUGCUAGGACUGCUUUUUCUGUGGAUCCUCGGAUUGCCUUAUCCUUGGCCUCGAGGUUCCCUGCAAAUGCUUCUUUGAAGGCUGAAAUAACUCAUCUUGUUCAGGAAUUUGUAAAGAACGAAGUCUUUGACUUGAUAGUUGAGAAAAUUCAAAACUGAGAGAAAAUGCUAGAAAAACAAAGUGUAGAAAGUUCAAGGAACAGAGACAAUAUGCUGCUUCUGCCCAAAACAAAUACUCCAGCUGCUGCCUCACAUGAUAACAGCGCAAGAAGAGCCAAAAGAUGCCGCUGCUGCCCAAAACAAACAAUCCAGCUGCUGCCUUUGCCAAAAAACACCCUAUCUGCUGCCCCACAUGUCACAUAUUCUGGAAAUUCGUUGCAUACCUGAAGCGUUGCCUUAUUUUGUCACCCCAAAGGCUGUUGACGAAAAUUCAGUGCUUUUGCAACAACUGCCUCACUGGGCUGCUUGUUCAAUCACACAAGCUCUUGAGUUCCUCACUCCUGCAUAUAAGGGUCAUCCGCGCGUCAUGGCAUAUGUUCUCAGGGUUUUGGAAUCCUACCCUCCAGAGCGAGUGACCUUCUUCAUGCCACAGCUAGUGCAGUCUCUGAGAUACGAUGAAGAGAGGUUAGUUGAAGGGUAUUUGCUCAGAGCUGCUCAAAGAAGUGACAUAUUCGCUCAUAUUCUGAUAUGGCAUAUACAGGGUGAGACGUGUGUACCGGAAGGAGGAAAAGAUGCUAUCUCUGGAAAGAAUAGUUCAUUUCAAGCGCUAUUGCCAAUUGUUCGGCAACAUAUAAUUGAUGGUUUCAAUUCCAAGGCCCGUGACAUGUUUGAAAGGGAAUUUUCAUUCUUUGACAAAGUCACAUCCGUUUCUGGUGUUCUCUUUCCGCUUCCUAAAGAAGAACGUCGAGCUGGGAUUCGGAAGGAGUUGGAGAAAAUUGAAAUGGAGGGAGAGGACCUUUAUUUACCGACUGCUCCUAGUAAGCUUGUCAGGGGAAUACAGGUGGACAGUGGAAUACCAUUACAGUCGGCAGCAAAAGUUCCGAUAAUGGUGACGUUUAAUGUGGUUGACCGGGAUGGUGACCGCAAUGAUAUAAAGCCUCAAGCUUGCAUUUUCAAGGUUGGAGAUGAUUGUCGACAAGAUGUUCUUGCCCUUCAAGUGAUAGCUCUACUUAGAGACAUAUUUGAAGCAGUUGGACUUAAUCUUUAUUUGUUUCCAUAUGGAGUUCUUCCAACUGGCCCAGAGAGAGGUAUUAUUGAAGUGAGCUUUUAUCUUCAGCCAUUCAUUUAAUUGGAAUGUGCUUUAUCUGGAGCAUUGUUACCUCAAGCAUCCAUAUGCUGUGGAUUUCAAACAACAAUUUGAUAUACUCACUAGAGUGUGCUGUGUGUAUGACUUGGGGAAGUUUUUCUUUCUUGAGCCAUGGCAAAAUGUAGCAUGGUCAUGUAAAAUGUAACUGCUAUUUUAGGAUGAAUCUUAUGAUUCAAGUUUUAUAUAUACAUAAUCAUGAAUUGAUUCAUAAAAUGCGUGAUUAUAAAUUAUAAUGGAUUUUCAACUUGAAAAUAAUUAGUAACUGGAAUACCUUGGGGAAAAAAUUGCUUGUGAUUUACACUAAAAUGGUUCAGGUAUUUGUCGUUUAUCAGGUUGCUUUGACUUCCUUUUUUAAAAUGUUCUAUGUUUUAUGUAGAAUGUGGUGAAUUGGAAUUUACAAAUGGCAGUGAAGUUUAUGGUAACUCUUGUAUAAAAUUUGUGCACAUUGUGCCCCUAUGUUCCCUUGGGCUGCAUUGUUUUACGUUUCUGGAUUACAAUUCUUCUUGUGAUCUACAAUCUGCCUCUAGGCUUUGCAACUGAGUUCUUUAUUCAUUACAGUUUGAGGGGAGUUCGGGGUGAACUAUAAGAGUUGCUCAUGAUUCUUUAUUUGAGUAUUUUUUGGUUGAACUUUUCCUGGAAUUAAUUAAAUUUGUUGUCUAAUUUACAACCAACUUCAUAUAUGCCUAUUACUCUGUCCAAUGGUUCAGGCUUUCUGCCAAUGAAAGAAAGUAUGGAUCAAGCUAACUCCAUAAAUUAUCUCCUUUGUGAAUAUGGAUCAUCUGUAUUAUUGUAUAUGCAUCUUCUUUUUUACUUGGUAGAUAUUUUUAACAUUACAGGUUGUGCCUAAUUCCCGGAGCAGAAGUCAAAUGGGUGAAACAACAGAUGGUGGUUUGUAUGAGAUUUUUCAACAAGAUUUUGGGCCUGUAGGCUCUCAUAGUUUUGAAGCAGCACGUGAGAACUUCAUCAUUAGCAGUGCUGGUUAUGCAGUUGCCAGUCUUUUGCUUCAACCAAAGGAUAGACACAAUGGGAAUCUUCUUUUUGACAAUUUGGGGAGGCUAGUUCAUAUUGAUUUCGGUUUCAUCUUCGAAAUAUCACCUGGUGGAAACAUGCGCUUUGAGAGUGCACACUUCAAGCUGAGCCAUGAGAUGACUCAAUUACUAGAUCCAUCUGGUGUUAUGAAGAGUGAAACCUGGUUCCAAUUUGUAAGUUUGUGUGUCAAGGGAUACCUUGCAGCCCGUCGUUACAUGGACGGGAUAAUCAACACUGUGCUGUUGAUGUUAGACAGCGGACUACCUUGCUUCAGUAGGGGUGACCCAAUUGGAAAUCUUCGCAAGAGAUUUCAUCCUGAGAUGAGUGAACGUGAAGCGGCCAAUUUCAUGAUUCGUGUGUGCACAGAUGCCUACAACAAGUGGACGACUGCUGGCUAUGACUUGAUACAAUAUCUGCAGCAAGGCAUUGAGAAGUAAAUGGAAAUCAUAUGCGAUUGGGACAUAAAUGUACAUGAUUGCCUGUAAUUUUGUAAUUGUAUUAUUCAAUCUUUACGGCUGUAAUUCUUUUCAAGGGAUUUCCACUAUAGAAAGCUGAGUUAAAGGGUUGUAGAAACGGCGCUUCUUUGUAACCUAGUGGUGGGAUUCCUGUUGAGGUUUGUAAAAGUACAGAUUGUUUUAUUCUUGUUACUAAUGAAAUUCGCAGUUCCUUAGAAGAGCAAAGGCACAAGUUGGCAAGUUGCAGUGAAUAGCAAUUAUCAAUUUGAAUAACAUAAAGAGUAGGCUGACUGCUGGAGGGAUGGCAAGUUUUAACUUUAGCCUUCAAAUGUUCACCUAUAAUGCAAUAGAAGUGUCAGCCAGGGCAUCGUGAAUUCGUACGACAUUAUUCUAUGAUUGUACAAUUUUUAACAUGCGCUUAUUCUAUAAAAAUUCCUUUGCCCAAU
This 7963-nucleotide unclassified non-coding RNA is filed under the name Hevea brasiliensis (rubber tree). The record is from RNAcentral. Lineage: Eukaryota; Viridiplantae; Streptophyta; Magnoliopsida; Malpighiales; Euphorbiaceae.